Schizosaccharomyces pombe (fission yeast) is the source of this 266-nucleotide non-coding RNA. NCBI's taxonomy places the organism in Eukaryota, Fungi, Ascomycota, Schizosaccharomycetes, Schizosaccharomycetales, Schizosaccharomycetaceae. The record is from the annotation of a GenBank genome assembly.
CAUAGCACCCAAAAAUCUGAUAGAAUCUGCCAAAUUCAAAGUUAAAAAGAAAUAAGAUUCCAAGAAUUUGGCCACCAAAACUGUAAUCCAAAGACACCAAGAAACGAAAGCACCUGUUUUUGAGGUCGGAGUGAAAUUGGCGGUGAAAAAUCUGUUAGCAAGGUUUUUUCCAGACCUUUUUGUGGUGAAACCAACCAAAUUUCGUAACGGCGUAAUCGAAUAGUAAACUACACAGACCAACGAGAAAAAGAAAUGCACAAUUCCUA